This 309-nucleotide ribosomal RNA is filed under the name Lodderomyces parapsilosis. RNAcentral's name for it is "Candida parapsilosis partial large subunit ribosomal RNA". It matches the Rfam family "Eukaryotic large subunit ribosomal RNA", at positions 72 to 378 of the family's 3401-position model. Lineage: Eukaryota; Fungi; Ascomycota; Pichiomycetes; Serinales; Debaryomycetaceae. The record is from RNAcentral.
GGAUUGCUUAGUAGCGGCGAGUGAAGCGGCAAAAGCUCAAAUUUGAAAUCUGGCACUUUCAGUGUCCGAGUUGUAAUUUGAAGAAGGUAUCUUUGGGUCUGGCUCUUGUCUAUGUUUCUUGGAACAGAACGUCACAGAGGGUGAGAAUCCCGUGCGAUGAGAUGUCCCAGACCUAUGUAAAGUUCCUUCGAAGAGUCGAGUUGUUUGGGAAUGCAGCUCUAAGUGGGUGGUAAAUUCCAUCUAAAGCUAAAUAUUGGCGAGAGACCGAUAGCGAACAAGUACAGUGAUGGAAAGAUGAAAAGAACUUUG